Small nucleolar RNA from Phyllostomus hastatus (greater spear-nosed bat), 67 nucleotides. RefSeq annotates it as small nucleolar RNA SNORD109A. NCBI's taxonomy places the organism in Eukaryota, Metazoa, Chordata, Mammalia, Chiroptera, Phyllostomidae. The record is from RefSeq and is a predicted model, not a curated record. The transcript has a single exon.
GGGUCAGGGAAGAGCACAGUUGUCUAAGGAUGCUGAGGGACUUGUUCCACACGUCAUUCUGAGGUCC